UAUAUAUGCAUGUUUAGACUGGCCAUGUUUGCUAAACUCUGUUAGGAACGUUUAUAGCAUUUUCUAAGAUUCUAAGUACUUGAGAAAGCAUUCUGUUUUCUCACCGAAGAUCUGUCCCAAGACACCAAUGUGUAAAAGCUCUGAGCUAUUAUUCUGCAACAGAUGGAGAAAGAGGCAUCAUUGCUAAUGCCAUGUGAGGGCCAUUAUCCCUAGCAUUUUCUUUAAAGAUUGCCGUAUCGAUCAGAGUCCUGCUUAUUAAAGGAAAUAUUCCGGAAUGUUAAAAGGAAAGAAUGGAAAUGUUUGGAAGGGGGGUGUUGGGACUGAAAGUUGUUGCCAAGCAACAGGAAAGUAGAUCAGGACAGAGGGGAGGGUAUAUAGUUGUCAUUUGAGGAAAAGGAUUGAUCUUAGCUGAUUGUAGUUCACUGAUGUCAGCAGUGACGUCUCAGGAAAGGAAGAAAGCAAGAGGGGACAGGUACAUAGCGGGGAUGUUCAGCCCUGGUUACUGUCCAAAGCUCUUCACACAUUCAGCAGUCCACUGCAGACAGCAACAGUCUCUGUCUUUGACCGUGGGAGAAGGCAGAGGAGUGUGAAGGACACACAAACCCAGGGGAAAAAGAUAAAGCUUCACUACAUACUAAUAUUUGAAAAACCAAAGUACCCACAUAAAACAGGAAAUAACAUCAUAGAGAGGACCCCUGGAGAACCUCAUGUCUGUGUGAAGGUCAAUAAGUCUUAUAAAAUGUCAGAUCAUUUUAAUUUUUACGAAGCAUAUUAGUUCAGAAUUUUGUUAAACGACUCAAAAACAUAAGAGUCUCAAAUCCAAAGAGAUAUUCUUUAUAAAAGUUAACACUCGUCCAAGCCCUCCUAAAAUGGCUCGUUCUAACACGCCCCCACAUCUCAAUGUCACUAUGUGGGAAGAUUUGCAUAAUGCCGCCCAAAUGUUCACGCAAAGAAAGAAGGCGUAACUUUUAUUCUUUCUGUUGCCGCUGCUGCCAUGUUGUGGAGUCGCUGUGUGUUACGUUGUGAAACGAAACUACUUUGUUUGGUCUUCCAAAAGAGGACACGACUAGAAAUCAGUGGUUAAGUUGUAUUUACAACACUGUUCCAGAACAGUUCAACCCAAAUAUUCAGAUGUGUGCAGCACAUUUUAUGGAGGACGAGGACUGUUUCCUGAACCAGCCUGCAAUGUGUCUGUGGCACAAAGGCUGUUUCUAUAAAGUGGGGCAGUUCAAACUUUGCAAGGACAGUCUGGUACUUCUGACUGACAGUCUGUAAGUAUGUUUACAUAUUUAAAGUAUUUACCACUGAUGAUUCAAACGCGAGUUUUGAGCAGUAGAGUAGCACUUGUUGUUUGUUGUUUCUCAGAUCACAAAUGCAGACAUGGUUUUAUGUUUACGCAGCGCGAUACACAAUGCAAUGCUAAAAAGACAGUAUA
Long non-coding RNA from Cyprinus carpio (common carp), 1435 nucleotides. The record is from Ensembl. NCBI's taxonomy places the organism in Eukaryota, Metazoa, Chordata, Actinopteri, Cypriniformes, Cyprinidae.